UUAAGUUAAGCACCUAUGAGCUAACAGUUUUGUAGAAACAUAGCUGAGAAGCAUCAGGCAGUGGCGCAGACGGCCUGCGGCGGGUCCCCGACAGGGAGUUGGGAAGCUGCUGGAGGGCUGCGCUGGGGGGCUUGUCGCGGGGGCUUCCGGGACUUUCACACCUGGUUAGACCCAGGAGCUGCGAUCGUGAGGCAUGGAGAUCCAAAAGAAACAACCACAAAAUUAGCAUCCUUUUGGGGAACCGCCUGUAAGAAAGUAUUUAGGCACCCACGGAAUAAGAGAGUGAUACUCUGCCAGGAUGGAAGUGUGUCCUUACUGUAAGAAGCCAUUUAAACGAUUAAAAUCCCACUUGCCACACUGUAAGAUGAUAAGGCCAACUGUACCUGCUGAUCACAAAGCUUGUCAGUCCAAGCUAGCUACACGCCCACAUGCUACAAGCAGGAAAAGACCAAUCACAGAUUUAAAUAACACUACAGAGAGAGAGUUAGAGACCAGGAGUGAAAAAAGAAAUACCAAGUUGGUAAAGGACAAACCAGAACGGACAGUGAAGUCUUUUCCACUACCGGCCGUUGGUUUAGAAAGAGCAAGUAACACAAAGGCAGAUGAAUACCUCAAGAAUCGAGUUCGGUGCUCCCUCAAAAUGCUAAAAGAUACUGAACCAAAGGUUGCUUUCCAGGGAGAAACCAAGGCUCAGUUUUAUGCAUCACAAAAUACCACUCCUAACAAAGAACUUCCCAAAGAUUUGCCUCCAUCAGGGGAGAGUAGAAGUAAGCUUUCAGAAACCAAAGCAUCUUUACCUCUUGGCCCAGUAGAACCUUCUUCAUCAAAUCAAGAUAGAAAACCUUCAGCCUUACCCAGUGAUGUACAGACCACUUCUCCUGAUUUAAGAUUGGACAAAAUUGAUCCCCCAAGACAGAAGCUUCUAGUAAAGUUAGUAGGUACAGCUAAUGGUGAUUAUCAUAGUUCUCCUAUGAAUCUCGAUCAUGGGAUUGAAAGAGUAAGAACGUCCUUGUCAAGCAAUGAGACAGAGUCGAAGGCCAGGGACCACCUCUCAGAAGUCUCUAGUGAUGUUAGAGACCCUGAGAUUCAAGAAAAGAGAAUGGAAUCACAAUUUUUAAAUUUUAAAGUUAGCCCAUUAGGUGAAAUCCACGUCAGGGAGAACCAAGGAGAAGGACUUGACCUUGGAGUGGAGGCACGUGGGAGCACAGGAAAUGCAGAGAAAAUUGUAUCUGUGACAGACACACAGGAACGGGCAAAGAACUUCAGUGGUGGUGAUUCGGCCACAGAGAAGAAAUGUCGAGACGAAGGUCCCGAUUUAAAUUCGUUCACUCCAAGGGAGACGACUUGCGGUGAGCUACUUUCUGUAUCACAGUCGUAUAAUCAAAAUCUGGCCUCUCUGGCUGUCCGAUUUUUUCAAGAAGAGAAAGCAGCAGCCUGCGGUCCUCACCGAGUCCCUGAUGUGAAGGUGUUCACAGAGCGUAGUGAGCGAGCUCCUCUGCCACACGGACCGGGCUGUGGGCCCCAGGCGUCACGACCUGGGUGCCAGCAGCCUUCACAUUCAGUCCUGCUCCACGCCUCUGACAGCCCCUUCAGUCAGGUGGGCGUUGCUGGCAGGAAGGGCCUCUCAAGCUCCCUGGGCCUGGAGUGGUUUCCAGAGCUCUAUCCUGGUUAUCUUGGACUGGGGGUGUUGCCAGGGAAGCCCCAGUAUUGGAAUGCAGUGGCCCAGAAGCCUCAGCUCAUCAGUCCCCAGGGGGAAAGACUCUCACAAGUUCCUUUGUUGGAAAGAAGCUCGACUGCUCUCAGGAGUUUGGGACCCCCGACCAGACUUACGCCCUCCAGCUUGUCUCUGAUGAGGCUCUUGGGAGCUGUCCAGAAAGGCUGGGUCAGGUGCAGCACCACCGUGAGGAGUGGAGUUGGGGGCGUCACCAUGCUCUUCGCGGGGUACUUCGUCCUCUGGUGCAGCUGGAGUUUCAGGCAUCUGAGUUCUCCCUGGAGAUCUGCUGGUCUUGUGCUUUGUCCUUAAAGCUGUUUGCCUGCCAGAUCGGCGCCCUUCUUAGUUCCCACCUGAGAACCGCCUUUCAGCAUUGAAACCUAACAGUUUAUACCCCAAGAGAGAAGGAGAAACAAUACGGCGGUCAGUCUGGUGUGUGCGGGUCACAGGAGUCUUACUUAACGUUACUUUCCGCAUUGAGAACACAAGCAUCCUUCUAGUUGAUUUCAGCCUGCCUCAGGCCUUCACCAGGAGGACAGCGUCUGAACUCCACCUCUCUUUUCAGUUCAGAGCUGCAGCGCUGGCGUAAGUGGUGACCCGGACACCACGUAAGAAAGCUCUGAGACUCGGGGAGCACGGCGAAGACCGAAGACCACUGCGGUGCGGACCGAGCGGUUUAGACUGGUAUUUGGGGCAGGGAGAGGGCGUGAAAAGAAUAAAGUUACUGGAUUCUGAAACCAUGA
Neofelis nebulosa (Clouded leopard) is the source of this 2454-nucleotide RNA transcript. It is a transcript of the gene named chromosome 16 C17orf80 homolog, with no coding region annotated. The record is from RefSeq and is a predicted model, not a curated record. The transcript has 7 exons. NCBI's taxonomy places the organism in Eukaryota, Metazoa, Chordata, Mammalia, Carnivora, Felidae.